UACGUAGGGGCUAGCGUUAUUCGGAAUUACUGGGCGUAAAGGGUGCGUAGGUGGUUUCUUAAGUCAGAGGUGAAAGGCUACGGCUCAACCGUAGUAAGCCUUUGAAACUGGGAAACUUGAGUGCAGGAGAGGAGAGUGGAAUUCCUAGUGUAGCGGUGAAAUGCGUAGAUAUUAGGAGGAACACCAGUUGCGAAGGCGGCUCUCUGGACUGUAACUGACGCUGAGGCACGAAAGCGUGGGGAGCAAACAGGAUUAGAUACCCGCGUAGUCCCUGAGCGGG
RNAcentral lists this ribosomal RNA (280 nucleotides) under uncultured prokaryote. Its description in RNAcentral is "partial 16S ribosomal RNA". It matches the Rfam family "Bacterial small subunit ribosomal RNA", at positions 524 to 803 of the family's 1533-position model. The record is from RNAcentral.